RNAcentral lists this ribosomal RNA (253 nucleotides) under uncultured bacterium. Its description in RNAcentral is "partial 16S ribosomal RNA". It matches the Rfam family "Bacterial small subunit ribosomal RNA", at positions 524 to 776 of the family's 1533-position model. The record is from RNAcentral.
UACGUAGGCAGCAAGCGUUGUUCGGAGUUACUGGGCGUAAAGGGUGCGUAGGCGGUUGUUUAAGUUUGGUGUGAAAUCUCCCGGCUCAACUGGGAGGGUGCGCCGAAUACUGAAUGACUAGAGUGCGGGAGAGGAGAGUGGAAUUCCUGGUGUAGCGGUGAAAUGCGCAGAUAUCAGGAGGAACACCAAUUGCGAAGGCAGCUCGCUGGGACGUUACUGACGCUGAGACGCGAAAGCGUGGGGAGCGAACAGG